Molecule: RNA transcript, 4150 nt
Organism: Tripterygium wilfordii
Lineage: Eukaryota; Viridiplantae; Streptophyta; Magnoliopsida; Celastrales; Celastraceae
Exons: 6
Source: RefSeq, a predicted model, not a curated record
GACGCCUGAAAAAAAAAAACAAUUUUGGAAAUACUUUUCGCAACAGAGUGGCGUAAAUCUCUGUCUUCGUAUCUCCUUCAAGCGCCAAGGUCAGCUCUCUCUGGCCUGUAAUUCCUGCAAUAGUCCUCUCAAGGUUCGAUCCUCUCAAGUUCCUCUUCGUAUCAAGCUAACGCUUUUUAAAUCUGCAACUUGAGGGAAAGAUCAGGACCGCUAGUUCUGCUUUUGGUUCGUUCAUUCGACGAUCGUAUUUGCUUUGAAUUUUUGUGCGAUUUGAUUUACUUUGUUGAGUUGCGGUUUUUUCAGAUGAUAAAGGGAGAGGGGAGUCGAGAGAACGAGGUCUCGGGGCCCGCCUUUCCCGAUCCACUUGAUUCAUUUCCUCUUCAAUUGGAUGGUGGCGAUUCGCCACUGUCGCCUGUGUCUCCGUCGCGGUACUCCUCCUGUAACGAGUCUGAUUUGGAGCGCUAUUGUAGCGCGAACUCUCUCAUGGGCACACCUAGCAUGUGUAGCUCAGUCGGACCUUAUAAUGAUUGCAUAGAGUCUGACUUUGGGUCCUUUAGGAGUUUUGGGUUAAUGGAUGACGGUAGUUUGGAGAAUUUCAGUUUGGGACUGCCGUUAGCCAGGAAUUUGGGGGACCAAAAGCCUUCCAGUUCUGCCAUUGACGGUGUUAGAAAAAGUGAUGACUGGGAUAUUAGAGUUCAGAAUGGAAGCAGUGGAUCAGUAGAGGCUACUCGAGGGGUGAGUAGCGAAAAUGAAAUGCCCGAUGGGGAUAAGGGUGUUUCUGCGGUAGAUUGCGAGGGAGAUUUUGGAGUAUUUAAAAGUUGUGAAUCAAAAGUGGUGGGAAGAAGGACUGCUAAUCUGAGGAGUAGGAAGGAGUUGCUGUUGGGUGAUGGGUUGGUCGGAGCAGAGAACGAUGAGUGCUUAGGUGGGUUGGAUUCAAAAUUAGGCUCACAGUCUCAUGGGGAAGAGACCCUUGGCGAGGAGGAUGGGAUUUCGUCGGAAUAUUUGCAUUCAGGAGAUGAGGAUUCCAUGUACAACUAUGGUUCAGAUGAUGACCACGAGAGUAAGCUCUAUUGUCAGGGGAAGAUUCAGUGUGGCCAGCAAGCAGAGGCUGAGAAAGAAAAUCCAUUGCUUUUGAAUUCAUCUGUUGCCUUUGGGUCAGGAGACUGGAAUGACUUUGAGCUUGAACUGGGAGGAAAAGAGCUGGAGCCUCUGAUUUUGAACAGCUUUCAGGAUCAGGAUACUUCAAUUGUUACUCCAGGCAUUAUUCAAACGGAGGAAGGGAUAAACGUGUCCCAUGUACCUACUACCAGUAACCUCGUUCAUGGUCCUGAGAGAUCGACUGAAAAGUUUGUUAAUGAUUUGGCGAGCCCUAUGGGUAUCCAAAAUGAAGGACAAGCAGAGCAAGUGGGAGAAAUGAGAGACAAUUCUACAGACUGUCGGGAAGUCCAAGAUAUUAAUGAAUUGGUUGAAGAGACUCAAGGCUCUACCAUGACCUCAAUGGGUUGUCUGGGGUUCGCUAAACAAGACCAAUAUCAAGAAGAUGUGCCUGUCACCAGCAACCAAGUCUUGGGUGCUGAUCGUGAGUCAAAGUUUUCCCAAAAUAUUUAUGAUGGAGGCGACUUUGAGAUGACACAGGAUCCAUUAAUCGAUAAAGUUCCCUUGGAAACAAGUUUGAACAUUAUGGGUUAUGGUAGGGAAAGGGUACAUCAAUUUGCAAAUACUGAGAAAAUUGUCAUUGAUGAAGGUGAAGCUUUAGAAAAGCAUGAGUUUAGGAAGUCAAAAGAAAAGUUGGAUACUCUCUCCAAUACUAAACUCAGUCAACUUUGUUUCCACCCAGCUGAAUCUGCUGAAAAUCUCGGUACAGAAAAUUUUGAAGACUGCAAACCUAGUUCACCAUCAACAUUUGAAAAUAUGAAGGAAAAAUUGAGGAAUACUCCUGCUAGAGCAGAUUUUUCCAAAGAUCAACCUGCACAUAUCGAGAUGGAGAAUCCCGAAGUAAAUGAAUUGUACAAUGACAUUGUUCAUGAAAUGGAAGAGAUUCUACUUGACUCUGCUGAGUCUACAGGGGCUGGGUUCCCUCAGGGUGAUCCGGCAUUUCAAUCACAAGUAACUCUACCCUUAAGAGAUGGUGGGUCUACUGCUUCUACGUCUGGUACAGAUGACGCAUACCAAUUACUUCCUCACCUCGUGAGAAUUGAUGACAUUGAAGUAGUAGGUGCUAGGCAGAAGAAAGGAGAUGUGUCACUUAGUGAAAGAUUGGUUGGAGUGAAGGAAUACACUGUGUACAGGAUAAGAGUAUGGAGUGGCAAGGAUCAAUGGGAGGUUGAGCGCAGAUAUCGUGAUUUCUUUACUCUUUAUCGUCGGCUGAAAUCCUUAUUUGCUGAUCAAGGAUUGAUCCUUCCCUCUCCUUGGUCUUCUGUAGAAAAGGAAUCCAGAAAGAUAUUUGGAAAUGUGUCUCCUGAUGUGAUUUCUGAGAGAAGUGCUCUGAUUCAUGAGUGUUUGCAUUCCAUUCUGGAUUCCAGAUCUUUUUCCAUUUCCUCAAGCACAUUAAUUUGGUUUUUGUCUCCUCAAGAUUCUUUCCCUAGUACACCCACAUCAAAUAGAUUUGUGACUCAGUUUGAAUCAUAUACUCCUGGGGAAAAUACUAAAUGCACCUCCACUUUUGGGAAGACUGUAUCUCUUAUUGUUGAAAUUAGACUGUACAAAUCUAUGAAACAAACUUUGGAAUCACAGCAUUAUACUUGUGCUGGAUGCCGCAAACAUUUUGAUGAUGGAAUGUCAUUAAUGCGGGACUUUGUUCAGACACUUGGAUGGGGAAAGCCUCGACUGUGUGAGUACACUGGUCAGUUGUUUUGUACUUCAUGCCAUACAAAUGAGACUGCAGUUUUGCCAGCAAGAGUUCUGCAUUUUUGGGAUUUUACUCAAUAUCCUGUAUCUCAAUUGGCGAAAUCAUAUCUCGACUCUAUUCAUGAACAGCCUAUGCUUUGUGUCAGUGCAGUUAACCCUUUCCUCUUCUCAAGGGUACCAGCUCUGAACCAUGUUAUGGGUGUCAGGAAAAAAGUAGGAGGUAUGCUUCAAUAUGUUCGAUGCCCAUUCCGGAGGUCCAUUAAUAAAGGACUUGGGUCUCGCAGAUAUCUAAUUGAAAGCAAUGAUUUUUUUGCACUCAGAGACCUCAUUGAUCUUUCUAAAGGAGCUUUUGCAGCAUUACCUGUGAUUGUGGAAACUGCCUCAAGGAAAAUCCUGGAGCAUAUAACAGAGCAAUGUCUCGUAUGUUGCGAUGUGGGAGUCCCAUGCAGUGCUCGACAAUUUUGUGAUGACCCAUCUUCAUUUAUUUUUCCUUUCCAGGAAGGUGAGGUACAACGGUGUAUUUCUUGUGAAUCAGUAUUCCACAAGGCUUGCUUUAGGAAGCUCACGAGUUGCUUUUGCGGGGUACAUCUUGGGGCGGGUGCGGACAAAGGGUCCUCUGAGGGGAUAAGCCAUGAGAAUAGUGGUGAAGCUGAAUUGAGCCUGUUGGGCAGAUCAAGUUCUGGAUCAUCUGCAGGAUUACUGUCUGGACUAUUCUCCAAGGCAAAAUCAGAGAAGGUAAAGCAGCAUAGGAACAUCAAUACAGUUAUUUUAAUGGGCUCUUUGCCAAGCACUUCUUUGUAAAUUUGGAGAUUUUCUGCUUGGGAGUUUUUUUGUUACCCCUUGGGCAUAAUCUGAAUAACCAGAAAAGGUCUAUCAUGUUAUCUACCAAAUUUUCAGAUAGAAUCUUCUGAAUUUCGAAUACAAAAGCAUACAUUGUGUUAAGGGAGGAAUAUGGGCGUAACAACGGGUCGUUGGCUGUGAUAGUGUACUUGAUUGCGGCAACUCUUAGUGCCAACGGGAGGCCAUGAGUUCAAGUCUCAUGAGUGUUUCCAUUAUCUUAAUUUGGAAGAUAGGCUCUUGCUCAGUCUAUCAUGUACAAAUGUUACCAUGCGUUAUCUCUUGCACUUGGCCCAAGGUUUACUAGUCGUUAUCUAGUAGGCAGUUAGGUGGGUUUCACGUUACCAAAAAAAGAGGCAUGUUGGUGUAAUUUUCCCGAUGUGGGGAUUUGCCUAUAAAAAAUAUGUAUCAUUAUAGUAUUGAUCGACAAUUUGACAUGUUUUAUACAAUAUUCGAUUUUUUUUUU